GUAGGGAAUAUUGCGCAAUGGGGGAAACCCUGACGCAGCGACGCCGCGUGAGUGAUGAAGGCCUUCGGGUCGUAAAGCUCUGUUGCAGGGGAAUAAAAAAAUGAAGGUACCCUGUGAGGAAGGAUCGACUAACUUCGUGCCAGCAGCCGCGGUAAGACGAGGGAUCCUAGCGUUGCUCGGAAUCAUUGGGCGUAAAGAGGGCGUAGGUGGCUUGGUAAGUCAGGUGUGAAAACCCAGGGCUCAACCCUGGAAGUGCAUUUGAUACUGCUGAGCUUGAGUGUCGGAGAGGUUACCGGAAUACCUGGUGUAGUGGUGAAAUACGUAGAUAUCAGGUGGAACACCGGAGGCGAAGGCGGGUAACUGGACGAACACUGACACUGAGGCCCGAAAGCGUGGGGAUCAAACAGGAUUAGAUACCCGAGUAGUCC
RNAcentral lists this ribosomal RNA (428 nucleotides) under uncultured bacterium. RNAcentral's name for it is "partial 16S ribosomal RNA". It matches the Rfam family "Bacterial small subunit ribosomal RNA", at positions 354 to 796 of the family's 1533-position model. The record is from RNAcentral.